GUAGUCCACGCCGUAAACGAUGAAUACUAGGGUGUCGGGUGUCAAAGACAUUCGGUGCCGCAGCUAACGCAAUAAGUAUUCCACCUGGGGGAGUACGUUCGCAAGAAUGAAACUCAAAGGAAUUGACGGGGACCCGCACAAGCGGUGGARCAUGUGGUUUAAUUCGAAGCAACGCGAAGAACCUUACCAAGUCUUGACAUCCCCCUGACCGGUGUAGAGAUAUGCCUUUCCUUCGGGACAGGGGAGACAGGUGGUGCAUGGUUGUCGUCAGCUCGUGUCGUGAGAUGUUGGGUUAAGUCCCGCAACGAGCGCAACCCUUGUCCUUAGUAGCCAGCGGUCCGGCCGGGCACUCUAGGGAGACUGCCGGAGACAAUCCGGAGGAAGGUGGGGAUGACGUCAAAUCAUCAUGCCCCUUAUGACUUGGGCUACACACGUGCUACAAUGGCGCAAACAAAGGGAAGCAAAGGAGCGAUCCGGAGCAAAUCCUCAAAAGGCGUCCCAGUUCGGAUUGUAGUCUGCAACUCGACUGCAUGAAGCUGGAAUCGCUAGUAAUCGCGAAUCAGCAUGUCGCGGUGAAUACGUUCCCGGGUCUUGUACACACCGCCCGUCACACCAUGGGAGUCGGAAAUGCCCGAAGUCAGUGACCUAACCAAACGGAAGGAGCUGCCGAAG
RNAcentral lists this ribosomal RNA (672 nucleotides) under uncultured bacterium. Its description in RNAcentral is "bacterial SSU rRNA". It matches the Rfam family "Bacterial small subunit ribosomal RNA", at positions 790 to 1461 of the family's 1533-position model. The record is from RNAcentral.